UCUGUGGGAAUGGGGCAGGGGAACAAUGGGAAUUCCCACUGGAAUUUCCAUGGGAAUGGGGCAGGGAAAAUGGGAAUUUCUGUGGGAAUUCCAUGGGAAUGGGGCACAGAAAAUUGGGAAUUCCUAUUGGGAAUGGGGAAGGGAAAAUGGGAAUUUCCAUGGGAAUGGGGCAGGGAAAAUUGGGAAUUCCUAUUGGGAAUAGGGCUGGAAAAAUUGGGAAUUCUCAGUGGGAAUGGGGCAGGGAAAAUUGGGAAUUCCUAUUGGGAAUAGGGCAGGGGAACAAUGGGAAACAAUGGGAAUUCUCACUGGGAAUGGGCAGGAAAAAAUAGGGAUUCUCACUGGAAUUCCCAUGGGAAUAGGGCAGGAAAAAUUGGGAAUUCCUAUUGGGAAUGGGGCAGGGGAACAAUGGGAAUUCUCACUGGGAAUGGGGCAGGGGAACAAUGGGAAUUCCUACUGGGAAUGGGGCAGGAAAAAAUGGGAAUUCCCAUGGAAAUGGGGCAGGGAAAAUGGGAAUUUCUGUGGGAAUUCCUAUUGGAAAUGGGGCAGGGGAACAAUGGGAAUUCCUAUUGGGAAUGGAGCAGGGAAAAAAUGGGAAUUCUCACUGGAAUUCCCACUGGGAAUGGGGCAGGGAAAAUUGGGAAUUCCCUAUUGGGAAUGGGGCAGGAAAAAAUGGGAAUUUCUGUGGGAAUUCCAUAGGAAUGGGGCUGGGAAAAUUGGGAAUUCCCAUGGGAAUGGGGCGGGGGAAAAAUGGGAAUUCUCAUUGGGAAUGGGGCAGGGAAAAUGGGAAUUUCUGUGGGAAUUCUCACUGGGAAUGGGGCAGGGAAAAAAUGGGAAUUCUCACUGGAAUUCCCAUGGGAAUGGGGCUGGGAAAAUUGGGAAUUCCUAUUGGGAAUGGGGCAGGGGAACAAUGGGAUUUCUCACUGGGAAUGGGGCAGGGAAAACAGGAAUUCCCAAGCAAAUGGGGAAAAUGGGAAUUUCCAAUGGGAAUUGGGGUCAGGAUUUUUACGGGAUUUUUAUGGGAUUUUUGUGGGAUUUUUAUGGAAUUCCCACGGGAUCAGGGUUGGGAUUUUUAUGGGAUUUUUAUGGAAUUUUUAUGGAAUUUUUAUGGGAUUUUUGUGGAAUUCCCACGGGAUUGGGGUCAGGAUUUUUAUGGGAUUUUUGUGGGAUUCCCACGGGAUCAGGAUCAGGAUUUUUAUGGGAUUUUUAUGGGAUUUUUAUGGGAUUUUUGUGGGAUUUUUAUGGAAUUCCCACGGGAUUGGGGUCAGGAUUUUUAUGGGAUUUUUGUGGAAUUUUUAUGGGAUUUUUGUGGAAUUUUUAUGGGAUUUUUAUGGAAUUUUUAUGGAAUUUUUUAUGGAAUUUUUAUGGAAUUUUUUAUGGGAUUUUUCUGGAAUUCCCACG
Molecule: long non-coding RNA, 1398 nt
Filed under: Zonotrichia albicollis (white-throated sparrow)
Lineage: Eukaryota; Metazoa; Chordata; Aves; Passeriformes; Passerellidae
Description: lncRNA (ENSZALG00000002204.1)
Source: RNAcentral